This 1359-nucleotide long non-coding RNA is filed under the name Mus musculus (house mouse). RNAcentral's name for it is "RIKEN cDNA 1700018A04 gene". The record is from RNAcentral. Lineage: Eukaryota; Metazoa; Chordata; Mammalia; Rodentia; Muridae.
CUGGCACUACUAAUUCCUCUCGGGGCUCUUUCCCUUUCCCAGUCUGUCCUCUUCAAAGCCGCAGAUACACCCGCAUUCAGCAGGGAGAACUCCCAACCUUGGCCAGACUCGAUUACUCCUAACUUCAGCAAUUCAUUCUCUGUUCCUUCCAGCAGCCCGUAUCCUAUCCCAGAAGUGCCCCCAACCUAGCGAUCCGUGCCCGGACACACCCUGCCCCUCCUCCACCCCCGCCGGACCCUGUGGGGGCUGAGUCUUGGGGAGACUGUGCCCUGGAAGAGCUUCCUUAGCCACGGUCCCCAGUGCCCGAACUGACACCAUCUGUCAACUUCAUUUAGGCAGUGCUGCCCUCAGCCACACGCCAGGGUGCCAGACGUCCCAAGGUUCUACCUGCCAGGUGGCUCUCCAGGUGUGUCCUGUGAUUCCCCACGCUCGCCUGCAGGCUGCACUGUUGCCGUGGUUAUCUCCCAGGCUACCACAGCAGGCAAUUCAAACAGGUUGUGUCAACACUGCAGGUAGACACUGAAUCCGCACCAGCCAAGGCUGAAAACGGUUGCAGCCGUGAGAACUGUGGACUCUGAGAAGCAAGGAAAGCCAUCCUUUACCAGGAGUUUCUCACCUAGUGGAGUUUUCUGGUCAUCUCUGGACUUCAGGCUGGGAUUUGUGUUGGGCUCCAUCUUGCCCGAGUCUUGUGCCUGUAGUCACAGAUGCGCUCAGUUCCUAUGUGUAACUGCUCUCCUGUCUCUGGAAACCACUGUUUGGCUAUUGUCAUCCCAUGGCUCCUACAAUUUUUUCUACUCCCUCUUCCUUGAUCAUCUGUUGUUUAACUUGCUGAGCCUUUGGAGGAAAGGCUGUGAUAUAGAUAUUUGAAGUCUCGUAGGCUCUGCACCCUGACCAGAUGUGAAUCUCUGUACUAACUGGCACCUAUUGCUCCGGAAGACGCUUCAUCUAUGAAAGUAGAUGUAUGGGCAUAAUGAUCUCAGUAAAAAGCAGUUAGAGCCUUGGGAGCCUAGUGCUCACUUUAUGAUUAUUUUACUCCAAGGAAACCUAGCUGUGUGGAUGCAUCCGACAGUUCUCUUGCUGACCAGGGAAGGUUGGGACAGAUCAGAGGCUAGGAGCACAGAGACCCUGAAGCGGGAGCCUCCCAGUCAACAGCCCAAGAGUAGGAGUUUAAAUGGUGGCAACCAGGGGAGAGACAGUUGCAGAGUCCCCAACCCCUGGGCUCUGCACUUUGCUUCCAUCUUGCACGCCUCCGUUUUCCUUUGCACUACUUUCCCCCUAAAACCUCAUUUCCUUUUUCAACGCCCACAGUGGGGCAGUGUGCAAAGAAUAAAAAUAUGUCUCCUUUGCUACAAACGGGAA